UACGUAGGUGGCAAGCGUUGUCCGGAUUUACUGGGUGUAAAGGGCGUGCAGCCGGGCUGACAAGUCAGAUGUGAAAUCCCGCGGCUCAACCGCGGAACUGCAUUUGAAACUGUCAGUCUUGAGUACCGGAGAGGUCAUCGGAAUUCCUUGUGUAGCGGUGAAAUGCGUGGAUAUAAGGAAGAACACCAGUGGCGAAGGCGGAUGACUGGACGGCAACUGACGGUGAGGCGCGAAAGCGUGGGGAGCAAACAGG
Molecule: ribosomal RNA, 253 nt
Filed under: uncultured bacterium
Lineage: Bacteria
Description: partial 16S ribosomal RNA
Rfam family: Bacterial small subunit ribosomal RNA
Source: RNAcentral